This 250-nucleotide ribosomal RNA is filed under the name uncultured bacterium. RNAcentral's name for it is "partial 16S ribosomal RNA". It matches the Rfam family "Bacterial small subunit ribosomal RNA", at positions 524 to 773 of the family's 1533-position model. The record is from RNAcentral.
GACGAGCUCUCCAAACGUUAUUCGGUAUCACUGGGCUUAAAGAGUUCGUAGGCGGCUUGACAGGUGAGGUGUGAAAGCCCACGGCCUAACCGUGGAAUUGCGCUUCAAACCGUCGAGCUAGAGGGAUGCAGGGGUAUGCGGAACAGAUGGUGGAGCGGUGAAAUGCGUUGAUAUCAUCUGGAACACCGGUGGCGAAAGCGGCAUACUGGGCAUUUUCUGACGCUGAGGAACGAAAGCUAGGGUAGCGAAC